AGGCCUUCGGGUUGUAAAGUACUUUCAGCAGUGAGGAAGGAGGUAUCGUUAAUAGCGGUAUCUUUUGACGUUAGCUGCAGAAGAAGCACCGGCUAACUCCGUGCCAGCAGCCGCGGUAAUACGGAGGGUGCGAGCGUUAAUCGGAAUUACUGGGCGUAAAGCGCAUGCAGGUGGUUUGUUAAGUCAGAUGUGAAAGCCCGGGGCUCAACCUCGGAAUUGCAUUUGAAACUGGCAGGCUAGAGUACUGUAGAGGGGGGUAGAAUUUCAGGUGUAGCGGUGAAAUGCGUAGAGAUCUGAAGGAAUACCGGUGGCGAAGGCGGCCCCCUGGACAGAUACUGACACUCAGAUGCGAAAGCGUGGGGAGCAAACAGGAUUAGAUACCCUGGUAGUCCACGCCGUAAACGAUGUCUACUUGGAGGUUGUGGCCUUGAGCCGUGGCUUUCGGAGCUAACGCGUUAAGUAGACCGCCUGGGGAGUACGGUCGCAAGAUUAAAACUCAAAUGAAUUGACGGGGGCCCGCACAAGCGGUGGAGCAUGUGGUUUAAUUCGAUGCAACGCGAAGAACCUUACCUACUCUUGACAUCCAGAGAACUUAGCAGAGAUGCUUUGGUGCCUUCGGGAACUCUGAGACAGGUGCUGCAUGGCUGUCGUCAGCUCGUGUUGUGAAAUGUUGGGUUAAGUCCCGCAACGAGCGCAACCCUUAUCCUUGUUUGCCAGCGAGUAAUGUCGGGAACUCCAGGGAGACUGCCGGUGAUAAACCGGAGGAAGGUGGGGACGACGUCAAGUCAUCAUGGCCCUUACGAGUAGGGCUACACACGUGCUACAAUGGCGCAUACAGAGGGCGGCCAACUUGCGAGAGUGAGCGAAUCCCAAAAGUGCGUCGUAGUCCGGAUUGGAGUCUGCAACUCGACUCAUGAAGUCGGAUCGCUAGUAAUCGUGAAUCAGAUGUCACGGUGAAUACGUUCCCGGGCCUUGUACACACCGCCGUCACACAUGGGAGUGGGCUGCAAAGAGGCAGUAGUUAACUUCGGGAGGACCGCUUGCCACUUUGUGGUUCAUGACUGGGGGUGGAGUCGUAUACACAGGUUACCGAA
RNAcentral lists this ribosomal RNA (1094 nucleotides) under Vibrio fluvialis. Its description in RNAcentral is "bacterial SSU rRNA". It matches the Rfam family "Bacterial small subunit ribosomal RNA", at positions 412 to 1504 of the family's 1533-position model. Lineage: Bacteria; Pseudomonadati; Pseudomonadota; Gammaproteobacteria; Vibrionales; Vibrionaceae. The record is from RNAcentral.